CCCUCCUCCCAUUAUCCCAAGUCCCAACUAAGCAGCGCCUACAAAUCUCUUCCCCUCCUAAUUUUCUCGCCGGCUUCCUACUUCCGCCACUCAGCCCGCCAAAUUAGAUUAAAAUCUUCAACCUUUUUUCCUCGAAAUCUCUACCUGCCCUCCCACCCUCUCUGUUUCGUCGAAACCUGCUUGCUCUCUCACCCUCUCUUUCUCUCUCUAGCACACAUAUCCCAACACCGCUCCAGACUAACCGCCUGCCUCUGCGUCAAAAAUAAUCACCAACUCCGCAAUUAUAAAACGACGAAAAAGAACAACAGUGGACAACAACACCUCCUCAUCAAAGAUUACUUAAACCCCUCAAUAAUAAUAAUAAUUAUUAUUAUUAUUAUUUUUAUAACAUAACAUGUGCUUACUCACCGCGAUUCUCCUCUCGCCUCCUCUGUCUCUAGGUCCUCAUCUUCGCCCCUCCAUUAACGAUGAGAAGAAGAAAGCUCCAACAAAUCUCCUUCUCCCUCCUCAUCUUCUUCGUCCUCCCCGGCUCCACGCUCUCCCAAACCAACUCUACUGAGUGCCCCCUGGACUUCUCCGUGCUGCGCAACUUCGUCUCCGCCUCGACCGUCCCGACCAACACCUCCUCCCUCUGCGCCUUCUCCGUCCAAGCCCUCCACCUCGUCCUCGCCCAGUACCUCCUCACCUCCUCCCGCUUCCUGCCCCCCGCCCCCUCCGCCUCCUCCUGCUGGUCUCACUUCCAGUCCUUCCUCUCCCCCGCCCGCGACGACAUGGCCGCCAACUGCAACCAGUCUCUGGCCGCCGUCCCCUCCUGCACCGCCUGCACCACCAGCCUCAACCGCGUCAAGGCCGCCUACCUCCCGGGCCCCGCCGUCGGCAACGUCACCAAGUGCGCCGACUACCCCUUCAUCUACGCCGCCGCCGUCUCCAACCCCUCCGGCCCCUCCGCCCCCGGCACCGCCUUCUGCCUCUUCUUCCUCGACUCCGCUCCCUCCGCCCCCCCCUCCCCCUCCCCCUCCGCCGGAUCUCGUAAUUGGAUCUACGGCGUCGUCGUCGGCUGCGUCGCUCUCCUGCUCCUCGCAGCCGUCGCCGCGUGGCUUUUCUCGAGGCGCCGCGGCCGGCGGCGGCGGAGGCGGAGGAAGGACGCGGAGGCGCCGUCCGCCGGGUCGCGGGCGCUGGAGUCGAUCGGGGCGAGCACGACGCUGGUCAAGUACGCGUUCGACGACAUCAAGGCGGCCACCGGGAACUUCUCGCGGGACCGCCUCGUCGGCCGCGGCGGCUACGGGAACGUCUACUGCGGCGUCCUCCCCGACGGGUCGGCCGUCGCGAUCAAGCGGUUCAAGAACUGCUCCGCCGCCGGGGACGCCAGCUUCGCCCACGAGGUCGAGGUCAUCGCGUCGGUCCGCCACGUCAACCUCCUCGCCCUCCGCGGCUACUGCAUCGCCACCACGCCGAUGGAGGGCCACCAGCGGAUGAUCGUCUGCGACCUCGUCGAGAACGGCAGCCUCCACGACCACCUCUUCGGCUCCCCGGGGGAGAGCCGCCUCAGCUGGCCGCUCCGGCAGAAGAUCGCGGUCGGGAUGGCGCGCGGAUUGGCGUACCUGCAUUACGGGGCGCAGCCCGCGAUAAUUCACAGGGACAUCAAGUCCAGCAACAUUCUGGUAGACGAGAAUUUCGAGGCGAAGCUCGCCGAUUUCGGCCUGGCCAAGUUUGCCCCGGAGGGGAUGUCCCACAUGAGCACGAGGGUGGCCGGAACCCUCGGAUACGUGGCGCCCGAGUACGCUCUCUACGGCCAAUUGACGGAGAAGAUCGACGUUUACAGCUUCGGAGUCGUCCUGCUCGAGCUCCUGAGUGGAAGGAAGGCCUUUGUUUCGCUCGGCGAGGGCCAGAGCUUUGUGCUCACUGAUUGGGCCUGGUCGCUGGUGAGGCAAGGGAGGACCUUUGAAGUUAUUCAAGAAGGAAUGGAGGACAUGGGGCCGAGGGAAGUCGUGGAGAAGUACGUGCUAGUGGCCGUGCUCUCGACCCAUCCUCAAUUGCACGCGAGGCCAACAAUGGACCAGAUUGUGAAGAUUUUAGAAACCGACUUGUCGGUCCCGACGAUUCCGGACCGGCCGAUCCCCAUCGUGGCGAGCAUGGAAGAUAUCGAAAGAUCGAUGAGCAGCAGUGGGUCAGGAGGGCUGACUAGCUUUUCUGGGUACCAGCCUUUUACUAAUGGAGCUGAUCGCGUUUCUAGUCAUUCCUCAGAAGAACCUCUGUCCUGAGAUACUGGGUUACGGCCGUUGGGUGGAUGUAUUUCUCGAAAAAGGAUUGUAUAAAUGAGGCAAAGCAUAUAUCCAGUUUUUGCAAGGGCUCCUCAGGUCUGAGCGCGAGCGGGGCGAUGGAGGACCGAGGCAAGGGUAUUGUGCCAUAGCUAGUGGCCGCCGGAGUACUUGCAUUUAGUCAUUCCCUAUUUGGUUCAUGUAUCAACUUUCUUUUGUUGAUCUAGAAUUGUAAAGUUGUAAACAUUCAUGUAUUUUGGGGUUGAAUGAUUAAGAUGUAAAAAGAUAUUAUGAAUGAAAGGAAAAAAGAA
Molecule: RNA transcript, 2569 nt
Organism: Ananas comosus (pineapple)
Lineage: Eukaryota; Viridiplantae; Streptophyta; Magnoliopsida; Poales; Bromeliaceae
Gene name: probable LRR receptor-like serine/threonine-protein kinase RKF3
Exons: 2
Source: RefSeq, a predicted model, not a curated record